This is a non-coding RNA of Drosophila melanogaster (fruit fly), 71 nucleotides long. Lineage: Eukaryota; Metazoa; Arthropoda; Insecta; Diptera; Drosophilidae. The record is from Ensembl.
GUAAGUUUGGAGUGCCUGGGCUAAGAACUUCCAUUCUGAAACUUAACUCUUGCAAUCAAACUUUCUUUCAG